UAGGGAAUCUUCGGCAAUGGGGGCAACCCUGACCGAGCAACGCCGCGUGAGUGAAGAAGGUUUUCGGAUCGUAAAGCUCUGUUGUAAGAGAAGAACGUGUGUGAGAGUGGAAAGUUCACACAGUGACGGUAACUUACCAGAAAGGGACGGCUAACUACGUGCCAGCAGCCGCGGUAAUACGUAGGUCCCGAGCGUUGUCCGGAUUUAUUGGGCGUAAAGCGAGCGCAGGCGGUUUACUAAGUCUGAAGUUAAAGGCAGUGGCUUAACCAUUGUUCGCUUUGGAAACUGUUAAACUUGAGUGCAGAAGGGGAGAGUGGAAUUCCAUGUGUAGCGGUGAAAUGCGUAGAUAUAUGGAGGAACACCGGUGGCGAAAGCGGCUCUCUGGUCUGUAACUGACGCUGAGGCUCGAAAGCGUGGGAGCAAACAGG
RNAcentral lists this ribosomal RNA (428 nucleotides) under bacterium. RNAcentral describes it as "partial 16S ribosomal RNA". It matches the Rfam family "Bacterial small subunit ribosomal RNA", at positions 355 to 776 of the family's 1533-position model. The record is from RNAcentral.